This 74-nucleotide transfer RNA is filed under the name Nephroselmis olivacea. RNAcentral's name for it is "tRNA-Pro". It matches the Rfam family "tRNA". From Rfam's summary of the family: Transfer RNA (tRNA) molecules are approximately 80 nucleotides in length. Their secondary structure includes four short double-helical elements and three loops (D, anti-codon, and T loops). The record is from RNAcentral. Lineage: Eukaryota; Viridiplantae; Chlorophyta; Nephroselmidophyceae; Nephroselmidales; Nephroselmidaceae.
CAGGAUGUAGCGCAGCCCGGUAGCGCGUCUGUUUUGGGUACAGAAUGUCGCAGGUUCAAAUCCUGCCAUCUUGA